AACGAACGCUGGCGGCAUGCCUAACACAUGCAAGUCGAACGAGACCUUCGGGUCUAGUGGCGCACGGGUGCGUAACGCGUGGGAACCUGCCCUUGGGUUCGGAAUAACUCCCCGAAAGGGGUGCUAAUACCGGAUAAUGUCUUCGGACCAAAGAUUUAUCGCCUUUGGAUGGGCCCGCGUUGGAUUAGCUAGUUGGUAGGGUAAAAGCCUACCAAGGCGACGAUCCAUAGCUGGUCUGAGAGGAUGAUCAGCCACACUGGGACUGAGACACGGCCCAGACUCCUACGGGAGGCAGCAGUGGGGAAUAUUGGACAAUGGGCGAAAGCCUGAUCCAGCAAUGCCGCGUGAGUGAUGAAGGCCUUAGGGUUGUAAAGCUCUUUUAACCGGGAUGAUAAUGACAGUACCGGGAGAAUAAGCUCCGGCUAACUCCGUG
RNAcentral lists this ribosomal RNA (433 nucleotides) under uncultured bacterium. Its description in RNAcentral is "partial 16S ribosomal RNA". It matches the Rfam family "Bacterial small subunit ribosomal RNA", at positions 29 to 507 of the family's 1533-position model. The record is from RNAcentral.